This 230-nucleotide ribosomal RNA is filed under the name uncultured bacterium. RNAcentral describes it as "partial 16S ribosomal RNA". It matches the Rfam family "Bacterial small subunit ribosomal RNA", at positions 562 to 791 of the family's 1533-position model. The record is from RNAcentral.
AAAGCGUGCGCAGGCGGUUAUGUAAGACAGUUGUGAAAUCCCCGGGCUCAACCUGGGAACUGCAUCUGUGACUGCAUAGCUAGAGUACGGUAGAGGGGGAUGGAAUUCCGCGUGUAGCAGUGAAAUGCGUAGAUAUGCGGAGGAACACCGAUGGCGAAGGCAAUCCCCUGGGCCUGUACUGACGCUCAUGCACGAAAGCGUGGGGAGCAAACAGGAUUAGAUACCCUUGU